CACCGCCCGUCACGCCAUGGGAGUUGGUUCUACCCGAAGAUGGUGCGCUAACCGCAAGGAGGCAGUCCAGCCACGGUAGGAUCAAUGACUGGGGCGAAGUCGUAAACAAGGUACC
Molecule: ribosomal RNA, 115 nt
Filed under: uncultured bacterium
Lineage: Bacteria
Description: partial 16S ribosomal RNA
Rfam family: Bacterial small subunit ribosomal RNA
Source: RNAcentral